CAAGAAUAGCACAUAAUAGGAAUGAAAAGGAAAUCAUUUGGUCUAAUGGAAUUCUAUGCUUGGAUCAGCAAAUGUGUGAAGAUCCUAUGGCACAAGAACAGGAAACUUUAAGAGAAUGCACUUCCAAAUUUUAAGGAUAGCGGAAGGAGUGGAGUCACCAGCUAUUGAAGGACCAGG
This is a long non-coding RNA of Hemiscyllium ocellatum (epaulette shark), 177 nucleotides long. RefSeq lists it as uncharacterized. The transcript has 3 exons. The record is from RefSeq and is a predicted model, not a curated record. NCBI's taxonomy places the organism in Eukaryota, Metazoa, Chordata, Chondrichthyes, Orectolobiformes, Hemiscylliidae.